GCAAACUUGGUCAUUUAGAGGAAGUAAAAGUCGUAACAAGGUCUCCGUUGGUGAACCAGCGGAGGGAUCAUUACAGAGUUUUCUAAACUCCCAACCCUAUGUGAACUUACCUUUGUUGCUUCGGCGGCGGAGGCUACCCUGCGGGAGAAUACCACUUAGUGGUUACCCUGUAGUUUCAGGUACAUCAGCUACCCGGUAGUCAUCCCCGCCGGCGGCCAACUAAACUCUGUUUUCUUUGGAAUUCUGAAUAACAAACUUAAUAAGUUAAAACUUUCAACAACGGAUCUCUUGGUUCUGGCAUCGAUGAAGAACGCAGC
RNAcentral lists this unclassified non-coding RNA (317 nucleotides) under uncultured fungus. RNAcentral describes it as "partial contains small subunit ribosomal RNA, internal transcribed spacer 1, and 5.8S ribosomal RNA". The stretch from base 1 to 73 matches the Rfam family "Eukaryotic small subunit ribosomal RNA", at positions 1759 to 1831 of the family's 1831-position model. The record is from RNAcentral. Lineage: Eukaryota; Fungi.